Molecule: ribosomal RNA, 512 nt
Filed under: Prorocentrum arenarium
Lineage: Eukaryota; Dinophyceae; Prorocentrales; Prorocentraceae
Description: eukaryotic LSU rRNA
Rfam family: Eukaryotic large subunit ribosomal RNA
Source: RNAcentral
UGGCGAAUGAACGGGGAAAAGCUCAGCAAAGAAAUCGAGGACUCCGGCCUUGAGUUGUGGACUUGAGAGGUAUCGCCAAUGGUGGCACGGGUGGGGGCCUCUUGGAAAAGGGCACCACAGAGGGUGUGAGUCCUGUUUGCCAUCUGUAGUCCGCCGUGUACGGCAUGCCUCCUCAGAGUCACGUUCCUUGGAAUUGGAGCGCGAAGGUGGUGGUGGCUUUCAUCUCAAGCUAAGUAUGGGUUCGAGACCGAUAGCAAACAAGUACCAUGAGGGAAAAUUGAAAAGAGCUUUGGAAAGAGAGUUAAAAGUGCCCGAACUUGCUGAUAGGGAAGCGAAGGGAGCUGACGUUGCUUGGUAACAUCUUCUGCGCAAGACUAGGAUGGGUUCUGAUUGCGAUGUGCGUAGUGUUUCUUGCCGUGCGUGUCGAUGCCAAGCAAUGAGUGGGGAGAGCUCCAGGGGUAUGAUUGUUUCUGUCCCCGGGUAGACGAAGGUGCCUGGUUGCAUCCAUUCGU